UGCAAGUCGAGGGGCAGCGGAGAGGUAGCAAUACCUUUGCCGGCGACCGGCGCACGGGUGAGUAACACGUAUCCAACCUGCCGAUGACUCGGGGAUAGCCUUUCGAAAGAAAGAUUAAUACCCGAUGGUAUAAUCAGACCGCAUGGUCGAACUAUUAAAGAAUUUCGGUCAUCGAUGGGGAUGCGUUCCAUUAGGCAGUUGGCGGGGUAACGGCCCACCAAACCAACGAUGGAUAGGGGUUCUGAGAGGAAGGUCCCCACAUUGGAACUGAGACACGGUCCAAACUCC
RNAcentral lists this ribosomal RNA (288 nucleotides) under uncultured Bacteroides sp. RNAcentral's name for it is "partial 16S ribosomal RNA". It matches the Rfam family "Bacterial small subunit ribosomal RNA", at positions 56 to 339 of the family's 1533-position model. The record is from RNAcentral. Lineage: Bacteria; Pseudomonadati; Bacteroidota; Bacteroidia; Bacteroidales; Bacteroidaceae.